Molecule: long non-coding RNA, 1971 nt
Filed under: Manihot esculenta (cassava)
Lineage: Eukaryota; Viridiplantae; Streptophyta; Magnoliopsida; Malpighiales; Euphorbiaceae
Description: long non-coding RNA (MESC_LNC006036)
Source: RNAcentral
UUAAUCCCAAGAUGCAUGUCCUAGUCUAGAAUGUAACAAUUUCUUAUUCAAAAAUUGUGUACUAGAACAAAUUAUACUCUCUUUAUUUAGAUCUGAAGGGAUUUCAGAGAGUGUGAUAAUUACAAAGAUAUGUCUAUUGUCAUUCAGGACACUAGAUAUUACACUAGCGAACAAACUUGACUUGUCAAGUUUAUACAGCUCUGCCAGCAUUUUUCCUACUGCAAUGACUUCCUUAGUCUGCUGGUCCUAGAAUAGAUAGUAACCAGAAUAGAAGAUAAGUUUUAUAUUUGUGGUUCUAAGCAAUUUACUUACUGAUAGUAAAUUGUAAUGAAAGCUUGGCACAAACAAAGUAUCAUAUAAAGACAAUUUAGGAUGCAGAGAAACAAGACUAGAAUGAAAAGCUUUAGUAAAAUAUUUAUUUGCCAUGUGAACUGUGACAUUAUAUGUCAAAGGAGUAAAAGAAUGAAACAUAGACAUAGAAGGACACAUAUGAUCAGUGUCUCCUGUAUCAAUUUUCCAUGUAUUAUUCAUAGAAAUUUCAGUGCAAGAUUUACUGAAAGUGUGAAAUUUACCAAUAAAGGAAGCAAAAACUUUGACUGGAAGUGUUUUCAGUUUCUUGCAUUGAAUUAUUUCUAGUACCAACACCAGUGGUACCCUUUUCCUUAUCCAUCCUGUGUACCACUUAUUAAAGAGAAUUCAACAUGCUAUUGAUUUCUUCAAAAAUAUAAGAUCCCUCAGGGCAUUUCAAAGGUUUGUCAGACUCAUUUAGACCAUCAAUAUUGGCCAUAAUCCUAGUGUUAUUUCCCUUUGAUUGUUUGUUAUUUUGAUCAGUGUUUUUAUUUUUUAUUUUAAACCAAUUAGAAUACCCAAUUAAUUUGAAGCAUCCUUCUCUAGUAUGACCAUCCAUGUCACAAUAUGAGCAGUGUCCCUUUUCAGUGUCAUAUCUUUUUUUAAAGCCUUGAGAUUGGGAUGAGGCUUGAGCCUUAUUGAAAAGAACUAAAGAUUCAUUUAUGGUAGGCACAACUCCUAAGGCUUUCCUUUGUGACUCGAAUUUCAAGACUACAGAGUAGGACUUGUUCACAGAAGGUAAAGGAUCUUGCAUAAGAACCCUAUCCUUGACAGGGUUAAAAUAAUCAUUCAGACUAAUGAGAAAUUGCAUCAAUUUAUUCCUGUUGUGAUUCUCAUCUAUUUUUCUUAAUCAUUCCAUAGAUACAUGGAGGAAAGAUCUCAUGCCAAAGGACCUUCAGUUUAGUGAAGUAAACCGAAACUGAUAUAUUUUCUUGUGACAUGGAGUUAAUCUUUCUCUGCAGCUAGUAUAUUAAGAGGCCAUUACUCUCACUGUACCUCUCAGCUAGUUCCAGCCACAGAUCUGAGUAAAAGUGAAAGCCUCCAGUAACUCCUUCAAAAUUGAAUUUAAGAUCCAUGAUGUGACCAUAUAGUCACAUCGUUUCCAUUUUGCAAACAUAUCUGAAUUCUCCUUUAGAAUUGAAAUCAUGCUAAAUCCUAAUUUUUGUUUAGCACCGAGCUCUAUUCGAAUCACUUUAUUCCAGGAUCUGAAGUUAGUGCCAACAAGACAUGCAAUAGCUAAAAUCAUACCUGGUGGUCUGAAUUUGUAGAUAGAAAGGAUCUCUAGCAUUCUGGUCCCGUCGCUCCUCCCUUACAGCAACCGUUUGAUUUUCACGGGAAGUGACUCCAGUCCGGCCGUCCAUAUUCAGAUAAUCCUUGCAAUGGAAGAAAGGAAGAAAGCAAACAAGAUCUGAGAAAGAAAUGAUAUAAAUCAAGAAAUUUCAUCUAACAUGCUCUGAUACAAUGUACAAAACCAACCAAGAGAAAGAAAACUAAUUCUUGCAUUAUGAUCUUGAGAACAAGAGAAAGAGAGGUAUUUAUAUGUACAAGAAAGGCAACCCUAAAGACGUGACUAAGGCUUAAUAGAAAGCAAAUAAAUAAAACAACAAAUUAAAAUAACAAAAU